AAGGUGGCCCCGGAUGCUUGAAAACAUAAGCUUAACCGGCUUAUAAUCCAAUACUUCUGGUGGUUGAGCCACGAAUCCCAUAAGAUUUUGGGUCCAGCCAAUCAAACAAGUCACAAGUAGAAAAUUAUUUUGAUAAUUUAUUUAUAAGUGAACAUUAUUUAUGUUAAAAAUUAGUAAGGUUGUUGGUGUUGCUUCAGUU
RNAcentral lists this long non-coding RNA (199 nucleotides) under Elaeis guineensis (African oil palm). RNAcentral's name for it is "long non-coding RNA (EGUI_LNC018036)". The record is from RNAcentral. Lineage: Eukaryota; Viridiplantae; Streptophyta; Magnoliopsida; Arecales; Arecaceae.